Molecule: microRNA precursor, 121 nt
Filed under: Malus domestica (apple)
Lineage: Eukaryota; Viridiplantae; Streptophyta; Magnoliopsida; Rosales; Rosaceae
Description: miR7121d stem-loop (mdm-MIR7121d, mdm-MIR7121e, mdm-MIR7121h)
Source: miRBase by way of RNAcentral
UAUUACCCUCAUCCUCUUGGUGAUCGCCCUGCCCCACCCAUAUGGCCUUCUGAAUUCAGGGAACUUCUGGAUUCAGGGCCUGCAUAUGGACAGGGUGGUUACCAAUGGGAUGACGGUAAUA